CUGACGCUAAUGCUCGAAAGUGCGGGUAUCGAACAGGAUUAGAUACCCUGGUAGUCCGCACGGUAAACGAUGGAUGCCCGCUGUUGGCGAUAUAUUGUCAGCGGCCAAGCGAAAGCGUUAAGCAUCCCACCUGGGGAGUACGCCGGCAACGGUGAAACUCAAAGGAAUUGACGGGGGCCCGCACAAGCGGAGGAACAUGUGGUUUAAUUCGAUGAUACGCGAGGAACCUUACCCGGGCUUGAACUGCCAGAGAACGACGGAGAGAUCCUGAGGCCCUUCGGGGCUCUGGUGGAGGUGCUGCAUGGUUGUCGUCAGCUCGUGCCGUGAGGUGUCGGCUUAAGUGCCAUAACGAGCGCAACCCUUUUCGCUAGUUGCCAUCAGGUUAUGCUGGGCACUCUGGCGAUACUGCCACCGUAAGGUGUGAGGAAGGUGGGGAUGACGUCAAAUCAGCACGGCCCUUACGUCCGGGGCUACACACGUGUUACAAUGGGUGGUACAGAGAGUCGGCCGUCUGCAAAUGCGGUCCAAUCAAUAAAGCCAUCCUCAGUUCGGAUUGGGGUCUGCAACCCGACCCCAUGAAGCUGGAUUCGCUAGUAAUCGC
This 601-nucleotide ribosomal RNA is filed under the name uncultured bacterium. RNAcentral describes it as "bacterial SSU rRNA". It matches the Rfam family "Bacterial small subunit ribosomal RNA", at positions 740 to 1345 of the family's 1533-position model. The record is from RNAcentral.